UACAGAGGAGCCAAGCGUUGUCCGGAUUGACUGGGCGUAAAGCGCACGCAGGCGGUUGCGCGCGUGGGGUGUGAAAUCUGGCCGCUUAACGGCCAGGCGCCAUCCCAUACGGCGCGACUGGAGCCAUGCAGAGGUCGAUGGAAUUGCCGGUGUAGUGGUGAAAUGCGUAGAGAUCGGCAGGAACACCCAGGGGGAAACCAGUCGACUGGGCAUGUGCUGACGCUGAGGUGCGAGAGCGUGGGGAGCGAACCGG
This 253-nucleotide ribosomal RNA is filed under the name uncultured bacterium. RNAcentral's name for it is "partial 16S ribosomal RNA". It matches the Rfam family "Bacterial small subunit ribosomal RNA", at positions 524 to 776 of the family's 1533-position model. The record is from RNAcentral.